UGUGCUACACAAGAUUAAGUCGCUCUUC
Molecule: non-coding RNA, 28 nt
Filed under: Mus musculus (house mouse)
Lineage: Eukaryota; Metazoa; Chordata; Mammalia; Rodentia; Muridae
Source: RNAcentral